ACCACUGUGGUGUAGUGGCAUCUCUUUUGGUGUUUAUCCAAUAGGUCAUGGGUUCAAUCCCAAUGGUGGGA
Molecule: transfer RNA, 71 nt
Filed under: Turnera subulata
Lineage: Eukaryota; Viridiplantae; Streptophyta; Magnoliopsida; Malpighiales; Passifloraceae
Description: tRNA-Lys
Source: RNAcentral